GACAGAGGAUGCAAGCGUUAUCCGGAAUGAUUGGGCGUAAAGCGUCUGUAGGUGGCUUUAAAAGUCUCCUGUCAAAGAUCAGGGCUUAACCUUGAGCCGGCAGGAGAAACUUUAAGGCUAGAGUUUGGUAGGGGCAGAGGGAAUUCCCGGUGGAGCGGUGAAAUGCGUAGAGAUCGGGAGGAACACCAAAGGCGAAAGCACUCUGCUGGGCCACAACUGACACUGAGAGACGAAAGCGAGGGGAGCAAAAGGG
RNAcentral lists this ribosomal RNA (253 nucleotides) under uncultured Loriellopsis sp. RNAcentral's name for it is "partial 16S ribosomal RNA". It matches the Rfam family "Bacterial small subunit ribosomal RNA", at positions 524 to 776 of the family's 1533-position model. The record is from RNAcentral. Lineage: Bacteria; Bacillati; Cyanobacteriota; Cyanophyceae; Nostocales; Symphyonemataceae.